UAAAAACUUAGUUUUACAUACUAACACUGCCUUUUGUGUAUAUUUAAACAGAACAAAUGGUAAUUUAUUAUGUUCUCCAGAAACUGAUUUUGCAACAUUGCUAAACUAGCAGACUGGAGAGAUGCUCACAAUUCUCAGAUGAUAUGAGUGUUUCUCUGCAUGGGCAUCAGAGCUGCCACUGCUUGACAUUCCAAGAACUUCCCAGCUACAGGUUCAUCACCUUCUCCUCCCAGGAAAGACAUGUGAGAUUCUGCACAGAGACAGGAAUGUCGUGCCAAAGAGCCUGAAGUCAUGCCAGUGGUGGAGUGCUGAUUGGAACAGACUGGGUUUGGAUGACAUCUCUACUCAUCUGUAAUGGAAGCUGUGUCAAAGCUGGGGGAUGCCAGCUGCCAUAUUGUGAAGACCCUCAAGCAUCCCUGUGGAGAGGUCCCCAUGGCACAGAAAUGGACUCUCAGCCCAAAAGCCAACAAAGAACCAAGGCCUCAAGCCAGCAGCCAUGGGAAUGGGAAUGUGCCAUCUUGGAAGCCAAUCCUGCAGCCCCAGUCAAGCCUUCAGAUGACAGUAGCCCCAGCCAAUAUCUUCACUGGAUCUUACUGAGAGACUAUGUGCCAGCAUGACCCUACUAAACAACUCUCAAAUUUCUGACCCUCAGAAAUUGUGUGAGAUAAUAAUUGUUUUUUGUUUUAAUAUGCUAAGCUUUAGGUUUGUUUGUUACUCCAAAUUAGACAACUAAUUCAGAAUGCAAUAUAUACACUCAGCCAGGUCAACUCCUCUGCUUCUUGAUGCCUGGGGAGAGUGGAGAGAGUGAUGGAUCCCCAUUAUUAUUGCACCCAGGGUACACUGGUCUGGGUUUAGAAUGUCUUGUGCUUUUUCAACCUUCUGUUCCCACAUUUCUCAGUAGUAUGUAUAUUAAACUCUCUUCAGUAACCCACUUUGAGUCUGCCAUUUUUUCCUGUUAGGUUCCCACCUGAAGUGGCUGCCAUGUAACAUCUACACAAACUCCAGCAAGUGGUGGUGGUAUCACCUGUGCUGUGAAUACCUCCCAGUGCAACCAUGCCUAUCACAUUGGAUGAUGCCAUUCAGAGCUGCUAGUGUCAGCAAAGCCAGGCUCCAGUGUCACCAGGGUGGUUUGCCUGCAUCACAGGUUCUUCGCCGACAUCACCAAUGGCUGUGCUGCCCAGGCUUUGCUCUCUCCAGUGCUCCUUUGAUAUUUGCGCGCCCCCCACCUCCUCCUAGGACUCAGAAGUAAGUCAUGUGAGAUGUGCGGGAAAGGAGCCAAGAGAAGGGCAAUUAGAAUCACCCUGAAGCAAAUUUGUCUUUCCAGGAUGUCCUGCCCAGGGCUUUACUGGGGUCUCACAUGAAUAGCUCUUGGCAGUGCCCCAGUGCACUAGAAAUGCUUAUAAAUUCCUGAAUCCCAAUGUGAACAGAGUUUGGGUCAGUCUGGACCCUUGCUU
Molecule: long non-coding RNA, 1454 nt
Filed under: Homo sapiens (human)
Lineage: Eukaryota; Metazoa; Chordata; Mammalia; Primates; Hominidae
Description: HSALNT0265562
Source: RNAcentral